RNAcentral lists this long non-coding RNA (2212 nucleotides) under Panax ginseng (ginseng). Its description in RNAcentral is "long non-coding RNA (PGIN_LNC001358)". The record is from RNAcentral. Lineage: Eukaryota; Viridiplantae; Streptophyta; Magnoliopsida; Apiales; Araliaceae.
UUUUGAGAAAGGCUUUGUUGUGGGAGAACUUUUUAUAAAGAUCUCCUUAGUUAAAUUUUGGCGUGGAAGUGCGUAUUCAGUCUGUGGAAUUCGUAUUUCCGGGUAUGUUUCUUAUUUAAUUUUUGUAAUGUUAUUAUUUUUAAUUGUUAGUUAAAGUUUGAAUUUUUGAAGUUUAGUUAGUGUUGUUAAUAAACUAGUUAGUUUACUAUGUUUAUUUUGGCUUGGAAUUGAUUAUGUAAAUGAGUUAUUUGUGAUGACUUUUAAUAUUUUGUGAUGAAUUUCAUUAAUUAAUAAUUAUUAAUGAUAUUAAAGUUAUUUAAUGAUUAUAUUAAAUAAUUUAGUUUAAAAAUGAUUUUAAUAUUAUAAAAAUCAUUUUAAAUGAAAAUAAGGUAUUUAAAAAUAUUUUAAGUUAUAAAAUAUAACUUUUAAUAUUUAAAUGAUAAUUUCAUUAAUAAUUAAAUAUUAAUGAUAUUAAGAUAAUAUUAAUGAUAUUUAGUUUAUUUAAUGAUUAAUAUUAAAUAAAUAGUUUAAAAAUGGUUUUACUUAUUUAAAAACCAUUUAAAGAGGAUAUUAAGGAUUUAAAAAUAUUUUAAGUUAUAAUUAAUGACUUUUAAUAUUUGGAUAAAUAGUACAUUAAUAUUUAAAUAUUAAUGGUAAUUAUUUGGGUAAUAUAAAUGUUUUAAAAAUAGUUUGAGUUAUUAUAAAUAACUUUUAUAUUUUGGCAAUGGUUUCAUUAAUAGUUUAGUAUUAAUUAAACUAUUAAUGAUAAUGGAAUUGUUUAAUGUUUAAAUCAUUUAAUUAUGAUUCCGAUAUUUGAAAGUUAUAGCCGGCCAAACUAGCUGACUUGAGAACCGAUUAUGAAGUUCUGAAUUUGAAGAAGAACACCUAUAGUAACAGUUAUAUCACUAUAGGCCCUUUAGUGACAGAUUUGAAUUAUUUUAAAUUUUUCAAUUUCUGGAAAUUGCGAAAAUGAUUAAAAAUAAGAUGUCUGAUAUUUACAGAUGUUGAGGUAUAGAAUAAGAGUCUUAGACUCAGUAUUUACCCGAUAAAGCUGUCGGUACGCCGACAAAUGUCAGACCUUAUAAAAGAAAGAAAAGACUACUGUAAGAGCAUGGAUGAGAUAUUUGAAAAAUGUAUAAAAAUAUUUCAAGUAUAGAAUAGGAACUAAAAGUAUGAUCACUGUGAUUAUGUGAUUAGACUAUGUGCUGACUGUAAUAGACAGUACUAUGUGUUAAGAUAUAUUGUUCUAAUCGAACGAAUGAUCUGAUUAUUGAUAGGUUGUGAUAAAGAGAUAAAACCUAAGUUGAGAUUUGUAAUCAGCGAAUCAGGCAAGUAUCCUACCUUUGCAUUUCCUUUAUGCAAUGGACAUGAGUAAGAAGUUUCAGAAUUAUUCUAUUCCUGUACAGAUUAUGUACGCUUUGAUUAUCAACAUGUUAGCUCAGAUAUAUAUUCUGUUAAGUUGAUUUCUAAAUGGUUAUACAAGUGUCCCCACUUGGAUAAUCAUGGCAUUUAUUCACAUGUUGAUAUACCUUUGUCAAUUACCCGUAUACAUAUAUGUUGAAUUACAUAUUAUUGUUGAGCAAGAUUAAAAACCUUCGGGUUUGGAACCAGGCAUGUAUGAACAUCCCUAUAUGGGAAGAUUUUUGCGCCCAAGGCGGAUAGAGUGAGCGAUGAAUUUCGUUCAAGUUAUGUAGUAUUGAUCAAUACAGGGUACAACGGGGCUGAUCACCCUCCGUGCCCGUAAGUUAUGACGGUUUGAGGAUAGAAUUCCGCUAAACCUUUUCGAAAAUGAAAAGAAUGUUCAUAGUAUGUUUCUUAAACCCUAUUCAAGGGUAGAGCCAGAGCCAAAUUUAAAGAAUUUGAAAGAGAGUUGUUAUGUGAAUUUUUUAUCAGUACAGAUUACUUCACAACUUUCAAUUCGUUGUAGAAGUGUUAUGUAAAGAGAAUACUUAUAUUCUUUCAGCUUAUAUAUAAUUGCUAUUACUUGCUGGGCACUUAAAUGCUCAUCCUUGCUUAAAUUAAAUGUUUUCAGUUAUGUAUGAGCAACCUGAAGGCUCAGGCACGAACAAAGGAAAAGGAAAGCUGAUCGAAUAAGUGUGUAUUAUGAGUUAAUGGUUAUAGUUAUAUUGGUAUCUAUUCAAGUAUUGUAAGGAAUGUAUUUGAAGGUCACGUACCUGGGGAAGUAAACUUUGAUGUAUGUAAAUUAAGUUCG